ACGAACGCUGGCGGCGUGCUUAACACAUGCAAGUCGAACGGAAAGGCCUGCAGCUUGCUGCGGGUACUCGAGUGGCGAACGGGUGAGUAACACGUGGGUGAUCUGCCUUGCACUUCGGGAUAAGCUUGGGAAACUGGGUCUAAUACCGGAUAGGACAGCUGUUUAGUGUCAGUUGUGGAAAGUUUUUUCGGUGCAAGAUGAGCUCGCGGCCUAUCAGCUUGUUGGUGGGGUAAUGGCCUACCAAGGCGUCGACGGGUAGCCGGCCUGAGAGGGUGUACGGCCACAUUGGGACUGAGAUACGGCCCAGACUCCUACGGGAGGCAGCAGUGGGGAAUAUUGCACAAUGGGCGGAAGCCUGAUGCAGCGACGCCGCGUGGGGGAUGAAGGCCUUCGGGUUGUAAACUCCUUUCGACAGGGACGAAGCUUUUGUGACGGUACCUGUAGAAGAAGCACCGGCUAACUACGUG
RNAcentral lists this ribosomal RNA (467 nucleotides) under uncultured bacterium. RNAcentral describes it as "partial 16S ribosomal RNA". It matches the Rfam family "Bacterial small subunit ribosomal RNA", at positions 29 to 507 of the family's 1533-position model. The record is from RNAcentral.